GGAUUAGAUACCCUGGUAGUCCACGCCGUAAACGAUGUGCGCUAGACGUCGGGCAGCUUGCUGUUCGGUGUCGCAGCUAACGCAUUAAGCGCACCGCCUGGGGAGUACGGUCGCAAGAUUAAAACUCAAAGGAAUUGACGGGGGCCCGCACAAGCGGUGGAGCAUGUGGUUUAAUUCGAUGCAACGCGCAGAACCUUACCAGCCCUUGACAUCCCGGUCGCGGUUUCCAGAGAUGGAUUCCUUCAGUUCGGCUGGACCGGUGACAGGUGCUGCAUGGCUGUCGUCAGCUCGUGCCG
This 296-nucleotide ribosomal RNA is filed under the name uncultured bacterium. RNAcentral's name for it is "partial 16S ribosomal RNA". It matches the Rfam family "Bacterial small subunit ribosomal RNA", at positions 775 to 1067 of the family's 1533-position model. The record is from RNAcentral.